Molecule: ribosomal RNA, 403 nt
Filed under: uncultured bacterium
Lineage: Bacteria
Description: bacterial SSU rRNA
Rfam family: Bacterial small subunit ribosomal RNA
Source: RNAcentral
AUGAACGCUGGCGGCGUGCUUAACACAUGCAAGUCGAACGAGAAUCUUUUUGAAUGAGGCUUCGGCCGAGUUUAGAGAGAGGACAGUGGCAAACGGGUGAGUAUAACGCAGAUAACCUUCCCUUUGGCGAGGGACAACCCACCGAAAGGCGGGCUAAUACCUCAUGGUAAUAAUUUCUUACGAAGAGAAAUUAUUUAAAGGCUUCGGUCACCAAAGGAUGGGUCUGUGUCCUAUCAGCUUGUUGGUAAGGUAAUGGCUUACCAAGGCUAAGACGGGUAGCCGGGCUAAAAGGUUGGCCGGCCACAUUGGAACUGCGACACGGUCCAAACUCCUACGGGAGGCAGCAGUGGGGAAUAUUGCACAAUGGACGAAAGUCUGAUGCAGCGACGCCGCGUGAAGGAUG